GGCUCAGAGCGAACGUUAGCGGCGGGCCUAACACAUGCAAGUCGAACGAGAAAGUCCUUCGGGGCGAGUACAGUGGCGCACGGGUGAGGAACGCGUAGGUAAUCUACCCUCCGGCGGGGGACAACAUUCCGAAAGGAAUGCUAAUACCGCAUAAGACCACGCUUACUACGGUGAGAGUGGUAAAAGGCGCCUCAAAGCGCCACCAGAGGAUGAGCCUGCGUCCCAUCAGCUUGUUGGUAAGGUAACGGCUUACCAAGGCUAAGACGGGUAGCUGGUCUGAGAGGAUGAUCAGCCACACUGGCACUGGAACACGGGCCAGACUCCUACGGGAGGCAGCAGUGAGGAAUAUUGGGCAAUGGGCAAAAGCCUGACCCAGCCACGCCGCGUGUGUGAUGAAGGCCUUCGGGUCGUAAAGCACUGUGGGGAGAGACGAAACAGCGCAUCAGGAAAUGGUUGCGCCUUGACGGUACCUCCUUAGCAAGCACCGGCUAACUCUGUGCCAGCAGCCGCGGUAAUACAGAGGGUGCAAACGUUGCUCGGAUUUACUGGGCGUAAAGCGCGUGUAGGCGGACUCGCAAGUCGGUUGUGAAAUCCCUGGGCUCAACCUAGGAACUGCAUCCGAAACUGCUUGUCUUGAGUAAUGGAGAGGGUGGCGGAAUUCCCGGUGUAGAGGUGAAAUUCGUAGAUAUCGGGAGGAACAUCAGUGGCGAAGGCGGCCACCUGGACAUUUACUGACGCUGAGACGCGAAAGCGUGGGGAGCAAACAGGAUUAGAUACCCUG
This 781-nucleotide ribosomal RNA is filed under the name uncultured delta proteobacterium. RNAcentral describes it as "bacterial SSU rRNA". It matches the Rfam family "Bacterial small subunit ribosomal RNA", at positions 21 to 789 of the family's 1533-position model. The record is from RNAcentral. Lineage: Bacteria; Deltaproteobacteria.